RNAcentral lists this ribosomal RNA (1362 nucleotides) under Triticum aestivum (bread wheat). RNAcentral's name for it is "partial small subunit ribosomal RNA". The record is from RNAcentral. Lineage: Eukaryota; Viridiplantae; Streptophyta; Magnoliopsida; Poales; Poaceae.
AUGGCUCAUCGUGGACACCUAGAUGGACUAAUGCGCCAUGGUGCAUUCUCUGGAGCCGGCCUCUCUGGCCGCCAGCCUUUGGAGCCUUCUCCUGCCACCAUACUGGAGAUCCUGGAAAACAAGCUUGCCGUGCAGACCGCAGAGGCAGAAAAACUUAUCCGAGAAAAUCAGCGAUUGGCAGAUAGCCAUGCAGCCUUGAGAAAGGAUAUUAUUGACACUGAGACAGAAAUGCAAAUGAUUCGCACCCACCUAGGUGAUGUCCAGGUAGAGACUGAUAUGCACAUGAGAGAUUUGGUGGAGAGAAUCAGAUUAAUGGAGGCAGACAUACAGGCUGGUGACGCAGUGAAGAAGGAACUUCACCAAGUGCAUAUGGAGGCAAAGCGACUUAUUACUGAAAGGCAGAUGCUUACUAAUGACUUAGAGGCUGCGACUAAAGAACUACAGAAGUACUCUGGUGACAAUAGUAACCUUACUGAAUUGGUUGCGGAACUAGAUGGUCUACGGAAAGAGCAUCACAGUCUAAGAUCUGCCUUCGAGUAUGAGAAAAACACAAACAUCAAGCAAGUUGAGCAGAUGCGGACGAUGGAAAUGAACUUGAUAACCAUGACUAAAGAGGCGGACAAGUUACGAGCUGAUUUGGCAAAUGCUGCAAACAGAGCACAUGCAGCACAGGUUACACCUCCACAGCCUGGGACAGGACAAGCUGCAGCGGCUUCAGCAGCCACAAAUCCAUAUGCAAGUGCAUAUACCAGUCACCCCUCCGCAUAUCAGCAAGGAACUUCCCAAGCCGCGGCAUACCAGCAGGGAACUGCCCAAGCCGCGGCAUACCAGCAAGGAACUCCCCAACCCGCGGCAUACCAGCAAGGAACCCCCCAAUCCGCGGCAUACCAGCAAGGAGCCCCCCAAUCCGCGGCAUACCAGCAAGGAGCCCCCCAAUCCGCAGCAUAUCAGCAAGGAGCCCCCCAAGCUGGAGCAUAUCAGCAAGGAGCCCCCCAAGCUGGAGCAUAUCAGCAAGGAGCCCCCCAAGCUGGAGCAUAUCAACAAGGGACAUACGGUUACCCAACAGCCUAUGAUUCUGCCACCGCUUACCAGCUGCAUGCUAAUGCGUAUGCUAGCUAUUCUGGCUAUCCAGUUGCAGGCUAUGCACAACCUAGCUAUCCUGGCACGUACGCUGCACCUCAGCAGCACCCAGUAGCCAGUGGCGCGGCUACUGAUACCACAAGCGUGUACGGUGCCGCUGGCAGCACGGGAUAUCCUGCUGCACCGGUUCAGGCAAGCAGCGGGGCUGCUAACGCGGGGCAAGCGGCGCCGCCAGCUUCUUAUCCUGCAACAUAUGACCCAACCAAAGCAGCCCAGAGGUGA